RNAcentral lists this ribosomal RNA (783 nucleotides) under uncultured marine eukaryote. Its description in RNAcentral is "SSU rRNA". It matches the Rfam family "Eukaryotic small subunit ribosomal RNA", at positions 64 to 870 of the family's 1831-position model. The record is from RNAcentral.
UAUAAAUGAUAUACAGUAAAACUGCGAAUGGCUCAUUAAAACAGUUAUAGUUUAUUUGGUAAUCGAAUUUACAUGGAUAACCGUGGUAAUUCUAGAGCUAAUACAUGCUGUUAAGCCCGACUUUUGGGAAGGGCUGUAUUUAUUAGAUAACAGACCAAUAUUCCUCGUGACUAUUGUGGUGACUCAUAGUAACUGAUCGGAUCGCAUGGGCUUGCCCGCGACAAACCAUUCAAGUUUCUGCCCCAUCAGCUUUCGAUGGUAGUGUAUUGGACUACCAUGGCUUUUACGGGUAACGGAGGAUUAGGGUUCGAUUCCGGAGAGGGAGCCUGAGAAACGGCUACCACAUCUAAGGAAGGCAGCAGGCGCGUAAAUUACCCAAUACUGACUCAGUGAGGUAGUGACAAGAAAUAACGGGCCGGGGAUUUCCCCGGGACUGAAAUGAGUUUAAUUUAAACCCCUUUUCGAGGAUCCAUUGGAGGGCAAGUCUGGUGCCAGCAGCCGCGGUAAUUCCAGCUCCAAUAGCGUAUAUUAAAGUUGUUGCAGUUAAAAAGCUCGUAGUUGGAUUUCUGGCAGGGCGCCGAUGCCCGCUUGUUGCGUGUGCAGAGCGCCCUACCAUCCUUCUGUUAACUCUAAUAGGCAUUGAUUUGUCUGUAGAGGGCUCAGAUAUUUUACCUUGAGAAAAUUAGAGUGUUUCAGGCAGGCUUGCGCCGGAAUACAUUAGCAUGGAAUAAUAGAAUAGGACUUUUACCUCUUCUGUUGGUCUGAGGGGUUGAAGUAAUGAUU